CCUACGGGGGGCUGCAGUGAGGAAUAUUGGUCAAUGGACGAGAGUCUGAACCAGCCAAGUAGCGUGAAGGAUGACUGCCCUAUGGGUUGUAAACUUCUUUUAUAUGGGAAUAAAAUGUUCCACGUGUGGGAUUUUGUAUGUACCAUAUGAAUAAGGAUCGGCUAACUCCGUGCCAGCAGCCGCGGUAAUACGGAGGAUCCGAGCGUUAUCCGGAUUUAUUGGGUUUAAAGGGAGCGUAGGUGGAUUGUUAAGUCAGUUGUGAAAGUUUGCGGCUCAACUGUAAAAUUGCAGUUGAAACUGGCAGUCGUGAGUACAGUAGAGGUGGGCGGAAUUCGUGGUGUAGCGGUGAAAUGCUUAGAUAUCACGAAGAACUCCGAUUGCGAAGGCAGCUCACUGGACUGCAACUGACACUGAGGCUCGAAAGUGUGGGUAUCAAACAGGAUUAGAUACCCGAGUAGUC
RNAcentral lists this ribosomal RNA (460 nucleotides) under uncultured bacterium. RNAcentral describes it as "partial 16S ribosomal RNA". It matches the Rfam family "Bacterial small subunit ribosomal RNA", at positions 338 to 795 of the family's 1533-position model. The record is from RNAcentral.